CAUGGGCGGCGACCGGCAAACGGGUGCGGAACACGUACGCAACCUUCCUUCAAGCGGGGAAUAGCCCAGAGAAAUUUGGAUUAAUACCCCAUAAGAAUGUAGAGAGGCAUCUCUCAGCAUUUAAAGAUUUAUCACUUGAAGAUGGACGUGCGUCUGAUUAGGUAGUUGGUGAGGUAACGGCUCACCAAGCCGACGAUCAGUAACUGGCGUGAGAGCGCGACCAGUCACACGGGCACUGAGACACGGGCCCGACUCCUACGGGAGGCAGCAGUAAGGAAUAUUGGUCAAUGGACGGAAGUCUGAACCAGCCAUGCCGCGUGGAGGAUGAAGGUCCUCUGGAUUGUAAACUUCUUUUAUCUGGGACGAAACACUUCCUUUCCAGGGAGCUUGACGGUACCAGAUGAAUAAGCACCGGCUAACUCCGUGCCAGCAGCCGCGGUAAUACGGAGGGUGCAAGCGUUAUCCGGAUUCACUGGGUUUAAAGGGUGCGUAGGCGGACUUGUAAGUCCGUGGUGAAAUCUCCGAGCUUAACUCGGAAACUGCCAUGGAUACUAUAAGUCUUGAAUGUUGUGGAGGUUAGCGGAAUAUGUCAUGUAGCGGUGAAAUGCUUAGAUAUGACAUAGAACGCCGAUUGCGAAGGCAGCUGGCUACACAACUAUUGACGCUGAGGCACGAAAGCGUGGGGAUCAAACAGGAUUAGAUACCCUGGUAGUCCACGCCCUAAACGAUGGAUACUCGACAUUUGCGAUAUAUUGUAAGUGUCUG
This 765-nucleotide ribosomal RNA is filed under the name uncultured bacterium. RNAcentral describes it as "bacterial SSU rRNA". It matches the Rfam family "Bacterial small subunit ribosomal RNA", at positions 83 to 849 of the family's 1533-position model. The record is from RNAcentral.